Molecule: long non-coding RNA, 500 nt
Organism: Oncorhynchus tshawytscha (Chinook salmon)
Lineage: Eukaryota; Metazoa; Chordata; Actinopteri; Salmoniformes; Salmonidae
Source: Ensembl
AUGAUGAGGUAGAUAUGUCUAGGGGUAAGGUGACAGGGAUACUGGAUGAUGAGGUAGAUAUGUAUAGAGGUAAGGAGACAGGGAUACUGGAUGAUGAGGUAGAUAUGUCUAGGGGUAAGGUAACUAGGCAACAGGAUAUAAGACAAACAGAGUAGCAGCUUCUUGUAUGUGAGUGUGUGUGCUGUGUGUAGUCAGUAUAAAUGUAUAUAUUUUGGACACAGCUACUCAUUGCAGGGUUUUUCUUUAUUAUUUACUCUUUUCUACAUUGUAGAAUAAUAGGGAAGACAUUACAACUAUGAAAUAACACAUAUGGAGUCAUGUAGUAACCACAAACGUUGUAGUAGUUCUUCAAAGUGCAAAUACUGAAAUGAAGGUCAAUAAAGACACACGGUAAACUAGGUCUUGGUAGCUACUUAUUAAAACGUAUUGAUCAGUGGUAUUGCUUGGGGAUAGAAGCUGUUCAAGAGCCUGUUGGUGUCAGACUUGAUGCACCGAAAUCU